AGGCGAUGAUGCAUAGCCGAGUUGAGAGACUGAUCGGCCACAUUGGGACUGAGACACGGCCCAAACUCCUACGGGAGGCAGCAGUAGGGAAUCUUCCACAAUGGACGAAAGUCUGAUGGAGCAACGCCGCGUGAGUGAAGAAGGGUUUCGGCUCGUAAAGCUCUGUUGGUAGUGAAGAAAGAUAGAGGUAGUAACUGGCCUUUAUUUGACGGUAAUUACUUAGAAAGUCACGGCUAACUACGUGCCAGCAGCCGCGGUAAUACGUAGGUGGCAAGCGUUGUCCGGAUUUAUUGGGCGUAAAGCGAGUGCAGGCGGUUCAAUAAGUCUGAUGUGAAAGCCUUCGGCUCAACCGGAGAAUUGCAUCAGAAACUGUUGAACUUGAGUGCAGAAGAGGAGAGUGGACUCCAUGUGUAGCGGUGGAAUGCGUAGAUAUAUGGAAGAA
This 442-nucleotide ribosomal RNA is filed under the name uncultured Bacilli bacterium. RNAcentral's name for it is "bacterial SSU rRNA". It matches the Rfam family "Bacterial small subunit ribosomal RNA", at positions 271 to 706 of the family's 1533-position model. Lineage: Bacteria; Bacillati; Bacillota; Bacilli. The record is from RNAcentral.